This is a long non-coding RNA of Cavia porcellus (domestic guinea pig), 445 nucleotides long. RefSeq lists it as uncharacterized. The record is from RefSeq and is a predicted model, not a curated record. NCBI's taxonomy places the organism in Eukaryota, Metazoa, Chordata, Mammalia, Rodentia, Caviidae. The transcript is spliced from 3 exons.
UUAAGUCCACAUCUGAGCACUGGCCCAGCUGCUCCUGUGUCUCAGGCCAAGAAAUUGUCUUUUUAUUGCCCCUUAGGUCUGAAGAGAGGCUUGAGCCAGGCGCUAACAUGGAGUUCUUGGGAAGGAGGAGACUGGGUCUACGUUCCAGUGUGAGGAUCUAUUUAAGGACUUCUAUGUGGGAUGUUACAGCAGCUACCUACCUGUAUGUGACACACAGCAGACCAAAUGCAGAAGGACACAGGAGACCCUUCUGCAUCUAUAAAGCCAUACGUUAAUGGCAUUUACAGAAAUGUCAAACAAUUCCACUCUUCUCAUUAUGGGCAGGUACAACCCACGUAAGCAUAAGCCAGUGGAUCCCUCAAUAUUUUGAAGAGUGUAAAGACAAUCUGAGACCAUAAAUAUCAAGAACCACUGGAUUAAAACAUAAGCAUGAUUUUCAACUAAA